UACGUAGGGUGCAAGCGUUGUCCGGAAUUAUUGGGCGUAAAGAGCUCGUAGGCGGUUCGUCGCGUCGGCUGUGAAAUCCCGAGGCUCAACCUCGGGUCUGCAGUCGAUACGGGCGGACUGGAGUACUGCAGGGGAGACUGGAAUUCCUGGUGUAGCGGUGAAAUGCGCAGAUAUCAGGAGGAACACCUAUUGCGAAGGCAGCUCGCUGGGACGUUACUGACGCUGAGACGCGAAAGCGUGGGGAGCGAACAGG
This 253-nucleotide ribosomal RNA is filed under the name uncultured bacterium. RNAcentral's name for it is "partial 16S ribosomal RNA". It matches the Rfam family "Bacterial small subunit ribosomal RNA", at positions 524 to 776 of the family's 1533-position model. The record is from RNAcentral.